UCUUCAUUAGUAUAGUGGUAAGUAUUCCUGCCUAUCACACAGAUGACUGGGGCUUAAUUCCCCAAUGGGGAG
RNAcentral lists this transfer RNA (72 nucleotides) under Monodelphis domestica (gray short-tailed opossum). It matches the Rfam family "tRNA". From Rfam's summary of the family: Transfer RNA (tRNA) molecules are approximately 80 nucleotides in length. Their secondary structure includes four short double-helical elements and three loops (D, anti-codon, and T loops). Lineage: Eukaryota; Metazoa; Chordata; Mammalia; Didelphimorphia; Didelphidae. The record is from Rfam by way of RNAcentral.